Molecule: long non-coding RNA, 360 nt
Organism: Ornithodoros turicata
Lineage: Eukaryota; Metazoa; Arthropoda; Arachnida; Ixodida; Argasidae
Exons: 3
Source: RefSeq, a predicted model, not a curated record
UUCACGAGAGCAGACGACCGCGUGCAGACAACUGAUCUCGAUUGUAAAAGGCUGGAUCGCGGAUAGGGAGCGCGAGCGUGAAGAAACCGGCCGCCAUCUUACUUUACCCACAACAGUCGCCGCAGCGAUUAUGGCAACUUCUUGCAAUUACGGUCGUACCAACCGUACUGGCAAGGAUACAGGGCCUAAAUUUAUACAGAUUUCCUCAUGCGGCUACCCAGAGGAUCAUCUAUGAAGUGUGAUGCGACAGAGUGUACAGAUUUUCAGGCAUGGAGAGAAGAAAUGCGCAGAAGGCAGCCAAGAGUCACUAAAGGCACACGGGUAAAAAGAUUGAAAGAUGGAGGUUUAAAGUGUUAUUUU